GCGGAGGGACCCGGGACUCCGCAGGCGGCCGGUGAGUUCGCGGCUCCUUCCCCGCCGCAGCUGCCGGUGAUUCAUUCAGACUCGUAGGGAACGUGUCGGAGCCGCCGCCAGCCGGAGCUGCGGUGCCCGCGCUCCCAGGCACCAAACCGCGCGGGGAAGUGAGGAAGCCAAGACUAAAGGCGGAGCAUGCCCAGCACAACACAUUUCCCUGCAUAGCCACUUGUGUCCCUGUAAAAGCUGGCACUCACCCUUUGUGUAUCUGGGCAUUUAAAGUCAUCAGUGAUAACACACAGCCUGCUGUGGUUAUUUUCUGUACCGCCUUCAAGGAGCUCUCAGGAGCAGUUGCAACCAGCAAUGGUAAAAUUAUAUAUUAGCUACAGAACAUUUGAAAUCUGAUGUGCAGGUCCCAGAGAGAAGUCUGCCAGCCCAGCUGGGCCCUUGCCCAAGCUACAGGAAAGAAAGGGGUGCUCUGAUGGCAUCAAAAGAAGUCUUUCAUUUCUGGGAGCCUCUGACUGCGUUUGCUUCCCCAACUCCCCUGCUAUGCCCCAUCUCUACUGUCACCUGCUCUGGAAGGAGCCCAGCACCAGUAGGUGUUUGGAUCCAACACUCACCACAGAUCACUGCAAUAGUCACAUUCCAAUAACCCCAAGAACUAAUUUCUGGUCCUCCCAGACACUAUUAAAUGCUCCUAACAAGUGCCCACCAGCCCCCUCCCAAAAUGCUGAUGGCGGGGACUAAAUUCUGCCCAUUAACCCAGAUUUAUGACUUAGGAGUCCCAUGUUACAAUAAGAUGCCUGGGGGGAGCUGGAUGUAGUGUCCUGUUUAAAGCCAUUGCAGAGCCUAGUGGGGAAAGCAGAAAAUGUGCGAUUGACAGAUUCAGAGAGGAUGAGCAACACAGAGACUGGAGAACAGAGGCUGGAACUUACCUGCUGGAGUCACGAUGGUGAUGGGCAAGAUUGCGAAUUCAUUCCAUGUGUGGUUGUGUUUCCUGAUCUGGAGUUUCUGUUGAUAAUCUGAAAGAGAAAACCGUUAGUGCUUUUGGGGCUGCUCUAAAGGAGGAGCCUGGUGGGUGGGGGACUAGAGACAGUUAGUCUCCAGUGGGUGCGGGCAGCACUCGGGUAGUAACAACUCAUCUGUAUGGGAACACUCAGGAAAAUUAUGGGGAAAUCAACUAACGCUGCGACAUUAGUGUGCAUAAAUUAGACUGCAUUAAUCCUGCUCCAAUACUGAAGUAAAGAGGCUUUCAUUCAUAACCUAAUUUUCCUUAAGAGUAAUUUGUGGAUUGCUGUGACAGUGCUACAAGCAACAAAAUAUUUACAUGUACAGAUGUGUCCACAUGCAGAGCCCUACAUUUCCACAUGCUCACAUCACUCACCUAUUUCAAAAUGAACAGAAAAAGGAAAAAGUGAAGUGAAAGAGAGAGACCAAAGGAGAGGCCUGGACCAGAAUUUACAGAGGAAUACAGUCAGGAUGAUUUGAUUUAUAUCAAGUGAUUUAAAUCAGCAAAUGGGAAACUUUUUUAAAUACACCUCUACCCCAAUAUAACAGUCCUCGGGAGCCAAAAACCACGUUAUAGGUGAAACCGUGUUAUAUCGAACUUUCUUUGAUCCGGAGUGCGCUGCCCCGCCUCACCAUGAUAUAUCCAAAUUUGUGUUAUGUCGGGCCGUUAUAUCGGGGUAGAGGUGUAAUUGAUUUUAAUUGUUUUACAUUUGUACUACUUAGUUAUUUUCCUAAAGAGAGGUUGUUUCUCAUUGUUUAGUAGCCAUUAAAACAUGCUGAUUUGUAACUAAAUAUUGUCUUUACACUACAUUUGGUGCUUCCUUUUGCUAGGCAGGAGGACAUACUAUAUCAAUACACUUUAAGCAUUUAUAUAGAAUAACCUAAGAAUCUGAAUAAAUGUAAUUUUUAUAUUUCA
Mauremys reevesii (Reeves's turtle) is the source of this 1915-nucleotide long non-coding RNA. RefSeq lists it as uncharacterized. The record is from RefSeq and is a predicted model, not a curated record. The transcript is spliced from 2 exons. Lineage: Eukaryota; Metazoa; Chordata; Testudines; Geoemydidae.